UCCCCUACAGAAUCGACCUAUCUACUUCAACAGGAGGCUAGCACCGACCAUGCUGAUUUCCUCCACAGAAGCCGUACUGCCCCCAUAGUCAGUUUUUCAUUCAAAUGGCUAGCUAAUUUGCUGAUUUGGUAUCAACUAAGAAAGGCAAAAUAUCAAAACGACCAAGGUCGGAUUGAAAUUAUACUAACAUGGCCAUGGCCAGUCGAAAAAUAUUCGGCUUGCCACC
Molecule: long non-coding RNA, 226 nt
Filed under: Elaeis guineensis (African oil palm)
Lineage: Eukaryota; Viridiplantae; Streptophyta; Magnoliopsida; Arecales; Arecaceae
Description: long non-coding RNA (EGUI_LNC045350)
Source: RNAcentral